Molecule: transfer RNA, 85 nt
Filed under: Candidatus Methanoflexus mossambicus
Lineage: Archaea; Methanobacteriati; Methanobacteriota; Methanobacteria; Methanobacteriales; Methanobacteriaceae
Description: tRNA-Leu
Rfam family: tRNA
About the family: Transfer RNA (tRNA) molecules are approximately 80 nucleotides in length. Their secondary structure includes four short double-helical elements and three loops (D, anti-codon, and T loops).
Source: RNAcentral
GCGAGUGUGGCGAAAUUGGCAGACGCACUAGACUUAGGAUCUAGCGCCCUACGGCAUGGGGGUUCAAGUCCCUUCACUCGCACCA